Molecule: long non-coding RNA, 6368 nt
Organism: Pseudopipra pipra
Lineage: Eukaryota; Metazoa; Chordata; Aves; Passeriformes; Pipridae
Exons: 2
Source: RefSeq, a predicted model, not a curated record
UUUACUUUUUUGACAAGUAAACCAAAACCAUUAGUUAGAGAAAAAAUGAUUGGCAUACAGUUCAGGGAUAGGUGAUUACUGUGAAACUGUAGAAGAUAAGUAGGAAGAUUAGUUUAUUAAGAAUGUUGGAAAUACAUCAGGGAAAAUGAUGACCAAAUGGGGGAAAAAAUAUAUUUUAAAAAAAGUUAAUCAAAUCAACAAAGAAUGACAAAACAACUAUCUAAAUCUAUUUACUGCUCAUAUUGUUCUACUAUAGUUGGAAAAAUAUCUGUGUUAUGAACUUCUGUGUUCCAUGUACAAUAAUGAGUGAAUUUGCUAGUAUAGCAAUUUUGCAUUGCAUUAGCUUAUAUUGUUAUUCACCUAAAGCUAAUAUAAGGAAACAAGAGUCUUAGUCAAACAAAUCCCUGGUUCCAGCUGUAUUACCCAGAAGAAAAAAAAACUUUCAUAAAGCUGCUUAUUCUAAAGAAGGGAGUUAGAAAGUUUUCACUCCAUCAAAGCACUGGUGCUUCAAAGUCUCCUUUUGAUCAAUAGAAAACUCCAAGGCAGAAAUUUCACUUAUAAAGGGAUUUACUACCAAUGUGUAUGAAUGAAUAAAAUGAAAGACUAAGAAAAGAGCAUUAGAUCACUUUAGUUUUGGCUACCAAAUAAUUUUCCUGGUAUAGCAUAACUGCAUUUUUAACCAGAUGAGGUACAUAUGUUUACCUCUGAUAUACCAUCUUACACAUAAUUUGCCUGAGACUUAGAAGUUUGUGGCCAAUAUGAUAAUAGGAUAGAACAUUUGUAAGUAAAAAGAACUUUAUGACCAGAGCAAUAAAGACCCAACACCCACCUGGCCUUUUCAUUCCUUUCUGAUUGUAUGUAAGUUUGUAGUAAGUAACUAGUAAGUAGUUAGUGGAUACAUUUGAAGAGUCUUUUCUUUCUAAUGCUAUAAGUAAGUUUAUUGGGGCAGUUAAAUGAGAAAACUUAAUUAAUCUUCCUACUUUGAUUUAGAAUACUUUAUACAGAGGCAUACCAUACAUAAAUUUAGGACACUACAAAGUUAUCUUUUCCUCCUAUUAAAUACAACUCUAUUUUUAAUGGCCAUAAUAAUUAUCAGAUCCUCUCUACUGUAAUGUUUGAUUUAAGUUUACAUAAUGAGCACUGAAUCUUAGAGUGCACUACAUAAAUCAGACUAUUUUCACAACCAGUUCCAGUCUGCCUAACAGUGUAGACAAAAGUGAAUUUUUAUACCUAGGGGGUCAUGAAACAGAAAGAAGUCCUGUGAAACAAAGCUUGUCAAAUGAAAGGAGAAGAAGGACGAGGACAUCUUGGGGGAGAAAGCUCUCCAUCAGUUAUUAGAAUCAGCCCUGCGUAUUGCGGAGUAACUCUUCAGGGAGAGCAGCGAGUGAGAGAAUCCAGGUGCACAUACACUGUGCUGCUCACCCAAACCCACUCACUGUAUCACUCUACACAAACUCCCUCACAGUUCACCUCAGCUGGCAUGCCAGCAGAGACAUGGCCUGAAUGGCAUCAGAAAAACGAUAAAGCUGGGUCCCUCCCCAGCACUGACACACACUGACGCCAAACUGCCCCUGUAUAGCCUCCCUACUCCCCACAAAAAGCAUAACCCACACCUCUGUUGAUGGUUUCUCAAUGCUGCAUUCAUGGCAAUUUGACAGGGUUUUAUGUUGUCUAUCAAAAUAAAGCAGCCACUGUCCCCCCACUGCCAUCUGGAACCUAUGGAAGAACUGAUAAGUACUUUUUGGAACUGAUAAAAUACUUUUGGAACUGAAAAGACUGGGUGCUCUGUUCCCCAGUACAAUUAGUGUCAAAUGGAGAACCAUGCAGAAGACCACCUGAAAUGGGUUUCUGAAGGCACUAAAUCAGCUCCAUGGGGAAGACAAGAAGAAUUGCUGCUUUACCUGCAAUUGUGAAAAGAUGGACAAUGUUGAUCAAAGUUGUCCAGAAAAAGACAAUGAGAAGAUUGAGAACUGUUUCAGUGGUAUACUCUGUAGUAUUUAAAAGCAAUUUCAGGCUUACUGAUGUGAAGCAUUAGAAAAAGUUCUCUCUUGUCUAAGUUCUAAACGUUAUAUUCUACUGCUAACAUGUUGAUAUUAUUCUGUUUUCUGUUAAUCAGAUAGGCAACAAAAACAGUGAGUAAUUUUAUUUUUGCCCCUGUCUCCCAAGUCCUAGCAGAUCCAACAAUACUGUGAGUGAUUUACUAAGUGUGAAUUUACUCAGGGCACCACUUUUUUUUCUGGAGGACGCUUUCUAUGUGCAUGUUUAUGGGACUACUGUAAGACACUGAACACACAUUCUGUGAGAAAUGAUCCUCUCAGAGGCCAGGAAGCAUAAGGCAGAACCUGAAAAGAAGUUUUGGAAUUCUACUUUGAGUAAACAGAGAGGCGACUGUUUUCUUUUAUUAUUAACAUAAAUCCAAAGUUCCAUAUACUGUCAGUGUCAUCAUAACGCAGAACAUUACUAACUUUAAUUGCUUAUAGGCAAGAUAAGUUUUUGAAUUUAUUGUCUUAGAACAUGCAACAGAUAACAGACUAUGAAGACAUUUUUCUCAGGAUGAUCUUCAAAUUUUUUCAGGAACUACCUACAUCAUUAGACCAAAGGUAAAUUAAUGUAAACUCAGAGAAGCUAGAGCAGACUGGCAAAUGGCAGAGAGGAUAGAAGACAUAAGCAAAUUUUACCUCAGCAAGCCUCUAGUCCUGCCCUGAGAUACAGGAGUUAAAUUCAACCAGAUGAGUUUUCAAAUUUCUACUGUCUGUAUUUGAAAAAGAGAAUUUAUACUUGAUUUGCUUCUGAAAUAAAAUUCAACCUGUGAAUUCCUGAGCUUUACAAGAAUUCAAGAUCAGAAGUUUCACCAAACGCUUGGUUUCACUGAUGAGAUUUCUGUGGGAAUGGUGAAGUGGAAAAGGGGAUGUGACAGAGUCACUUCAAGAUGCUCAUGAAGGAAGGUAAUUAAGAUUUGUUUUUAUGAAAGACUUCAAAAAGCAUAAUCUUGAAGUACUAUGUUUAUCAAGUAUGCUUGGUGUUAAUUCCUGACAUCUCUUUGGUGGGUACCAUUUCCUAAUCAUUCCAAGGAAACAAAAACCUGUAAUUUUACUGAUUUUCUUUCUCAUGGUUUUAAAAGGAUAGUGACGUUGCUCUGAAAACCUUUCAAGUCUUGGCCUGAAUUUUCAAAAUACCUAAUCCUUACCCAGAAUAUAAACAUACUACUUUUAGGUUUCAUUCUUUAUCUUAAUGACUUGAACAACAAUUUGGCCCCUUCCAAUUUCAAUUCACAGAACUAAGUAUUUCUUCCUGCUUGCCUUUCGCUAUUUAAAGCCCUCUGUUUGCUUUGAGGAAACACAGACUUUUUGUAUGGGGGUGCCUUAUUAAAAACUAACAGAGAUGCAAUAAAGAAUAACAGGAGAAGAUUGGGGAAAACAUGCAUUGUAAAUGUGCUCAUAUGUUUAGAAUCAUGAAGUCACAGAAACAUUUUAAGUUGGAAAAGGCCUUUAAGAUCAACAAGUCUAACUUCUAACCCAACACUGCCAAGUCCACCCCUAAACAGUGUCCCUAUAGCAAAAUUCAGUUGAUUUUGACUACUGAUAAAAAUUAUUAUAAAAUCAUCUGAAGUAAUCUUUUUCAAGUGGUUAGGUUGUAUUUCCUCUAUUAAAGCUUUUUUCCUUCUGUUUACUACUUUAAAUACCACUUUUUUAUAUUUUGUGAAACUCUUUCUUUCAAAAUCACAGGACAUGCUUUUCUAGGACCAUUAUGUUAACAUCAAAAGAAUAUAUUUGGCUUGAUAAAUAAGGAUUUACUUUCUGAUAUUAUCGUCUCUGUCAAUCCUUAGUAAUUGUAUUGCUUAGUGUAGUUCUUAUUUUCUUAUGUACAGUGGCAUUGUUCAUCAUAUCAGAAAUGUCAAGAAGCUAUUUAUAUAAGUAUUGAAAAAUUUUUAACAGACUAGUUAUAUUGCUAGAGGAAUAUCUGUACAACAGCCCAUCUUGUCCUCUCUCAUUCCAAAAAGAAGUCUACAUUAGCAUUUACAUUGUCCAAGUUACAUCAGUAUGUUGCACUAUUAAGAGUACAGUAGUAGCUGAUCUUGAAGAACUUGCUGAUUUUAAUAAAAUUAUUUGCAGAAAGGUUAAAAUAUUUAUAUGUAUGUGCCAAUAUCACUAUGCUUUACUAUUAAAAACAUCAUCCUAAUAAAUAAUUUUCACAUAAACAUGUACCAGAUGCUAAUAAACUGCUGCAACACCAAAUUCAGCAAGACUGAAAGAACUUCUUUCUAUCAGCAGUCUAAAAUCAGCAACCAGCUGCUCUCUUACAAGUGAUGAGACACCUCCAGUCUGGGACAUGAUAAGAAAAUUCCUGCCAUGAAUGGCAGAAUCAAUUCCGUUACUCCCAAAAAUUAUUUUACUAUUUAAAAUUGAACGCAGCUUGACUCUGUAAUGAAUCCAACAUUUAAGGGUAUCAGAGCUAGCAUAUAACAGGCCAGUGGAAUGGAAAUAUUGUUGGCCUUGCCAUUCUCAUAUUUUGAAGGAUACAUUCAGCUGCCUCUUUGUGGGAGAAUUCUGAUCCUGUGUUCAGCCCAGAGCAUUCUCAGGACCUGCACACAGAGACUGAGACAGUGAGCUGUUCCUACAUGCUGUCCUCAGGUUCAAACUCACCCAGUACACUGUAAAACAUAUUGAGGCCUUUUGCUAAUGUGCUGUUUUUUCCUCAUUUGCUUUCUGUCUAUCCAUGAAUCAGAAAAUUGCAUAACGUGCUAUUCAGAAAUGGACAAUUUCAGAAAUAAUUUGCAUUCUGCUAGACAAUUUCUGAUCCUUUUCCAUCUUCCUAGGGGAUGUUUGCUGAAGAAAAAUGAACUCUUGCAGAGAACUGCAAAAUCAUUACAUCACUUGAGUAGAGUCUACAUUUGCUUUAAAAAAAUUGUUUACAACAAGCCAAUUUAUUACAUAGAAAUCCAAAAAUUCUUGAGUCUCUUGGAACCUAAUAAAAAAGAGCCUGUGAUGAAUUGCUGUGACAAUUUAUCUUCUACUUGCACCAUCCAGGCUUCUAUUCGUUACCAGAAGAUUUACAUUUGUCCUACAGUAAAAACCUGCUAAAUGUGCAACCUUGUCACUUGAAUAAAUUCACUCAUUUAGAAUUUCUUUGUCUGCCACAGAAGAUUGUUUAUUGGGCUCUCUUGCCUGAAAUAGUUGUACUUUGGUGUAUUUCAAAUGUUGUAGCCAUCUUAAACAUCUGUUUAUAAUGGAAGUUAAUUUUUUCUUGGUUUUUUUGUUUUUUUUUUAAUGCAGGAAACAGGAAUCAGUCAGUCUUAAGCAGUUAAAUUUUGGUGAAGAAGAUUUACAACUAGAGUCAAAAGAAGCACCUUGCAAAAGAUUCCUUUGCGAAGAGAACAGUAUGUGAGUUUCUCUUAAACAUAAAAGCCUUUCCAGAAAUCAGGGUCUUCAUAGCAGAAACCAUUAGAGAAGCUUUUCACAAUGAGGUAUCACACAAAUUCAAAUGCAUGAGUCAUGUAGGCUCCACCACUAACACUGCAGUGCUGGCUUUCCUUUCAGAUGUCUAUGUACCUGCUCUGACGUUAGAGCCAGAAGCACCAUCAUGCUGAUCUUCCUACAUCCUUGGAAGGAAACACUGCAAGGAAGUCAGGAAACACUGCCAAAGUACUGGGGAAACAUGUCAAUAUAAAGAAGAUUUUAUUAAUUCGCAAAGUCGAAACUUUGACCUGACAUUUCCAGGCAGCUCUUGAGAGGGAGGAACACAAGAAGGCAGCAGGAACAGAAAACCUAUCACUGGAAAGCAAUGAGAGUCAAUGAGCCCGAAAAACAACUGUUUAGUCACGGUAAUCCUAAUAAGUAAGAGUAAUUUUUCAAGCAUGUCUUAUAGGCAGAUAUCUAACUGAACAGUGAGAUAACCUUUGGAAAAAAAAAAAUAAAGACCACUGCAGCUAGUAGCCUUUUAAGUUAGGAUCCUCGAAAGAGUAUGAAGUAAAAUUGUGCAUGUAAUGAUUGAGUAAGAAACAGAUGGGGAAAAUGGUGUAUUAUGAAGAAACUGAAUUAACAAGGAAGGCUUAAAUGACUUGUAAAGGAAAAUAAUUUUUCCAAUCUUCAAUGAUUUUGAACACAAACCUUCAGAAUUUUACUCAUUUACAUUUUAUAUUCUUGCAGUAUAUAAACCACCUUGUUUCAUUGUGAUGACCAAGUAAUGAGUCUGAUAUCUGAAUAACACUGUUUGCAUCUGGCACUAGCAGAUGGAAAGACUUACCAAAUAUACUUCGUAAUAUCUGUCUUUCAAUUUAUACUUUCUGAGUGGUGUGUUGUCAUCAUUAAUUAUGCUAACAAAUAAAUACAAAUGUUUUGACCUAAUAAAAUUCUAUGCACAUCAAAUAA